GACGAACGCUGGCGGCGUGCUUAACACAUGUAAGUCGAACGCUGAAGCUUGGUGCUUGCACUGGGUGGAUGAGUGGCGAACGGGUGAGUAAUACGUGAGUAACCUGCCCUUGACUCUGGGAUAAGCCUGGGAAACUGGGUCUAAUACUGGAUACGACAUGUCACCGCAUGGUGGUGUGUGGAAAGGGUUUUACUGGUUUUGGAUGGGCUCACGGCCUAUCAGCUUGUUGGUGGGGUAAUGGCUCACCAAGGCGACGACGGGUAGCCGGCCUGAGAGGGUGACCGGCCACACUGGGACUGAGACACGGCCCAGACUCCUACGGGAGGCAGCAGUGGGGAAUAUUGCACAAUGGGCGGAAGCCUGAUGCAGCGACGCCGCGUGAGGGAUGACGGCCUUCGGGUUGUAAACCUCUUUCAGCACGGAAGAAGCGAAAGUGACGGUACGUGCAGAAGAAGCGCCGGCUAACUACGUG
This 472-nucleotide ribosomal RNA is filed under the name uncultured bacterium. RNAcentral's name for it is "partial 16S ribosomal RNA". It matches the Rfam family "Bacterial small subunit ribosomal RNA", at positions 28 to 507 of the family's 1533-position model. The record is from RNAcentral.